This 817-nucleotide ribosomal RNA is filed under the name Clostridioides difficile. RNAcentral describes it as "bacterial LSU rRNA". It matches the Rfam family "Bacterial large subunit ribosomal RNA", at positions 768 to 1589 of the family's 2925-position model. Lineage: Bacteria; Bacillati; Bacillota; Clostridia; Peptostreptococcales; Peptostreptococcaceae. The record is from RNAcentral.
GGAGGUCCGAACCCACGAGCGUUGAAAAGCUCGGGGAUGACUUGUGGGUAGCGGUGAAAUUCCAAUCGAGCCCGGAGAUAGCUGGUUCUCCCCGAAAUAGCUUUAGGGCUAGCCUCAAGGUGAGAGAUACGGAGGUAGAGCACUGAAUGUCCUAGGGGGUAUUGCACCUACCGAAGACUAUCAAACUCCGAAUGCCGUCAUCUUAUACUUGGGAGUCAGACUGUGGGUGAUAAGAUUCAUAGUCGAAAGGGCAACAGCCCAGAUCGUCAGCUAAGGUCCCUAAAUGUAAGUUAAGUGGUAAAGGAUGUGGGAUUGCACAGACAACCAGGAUGUUGGCUUAGAAGCAGCCACUCAUUCAAAGAGUGCGUAAUAGCUCACUGGUCGAGUGAUCUUGCGCCUAACAUUUCCGGGGUUAUAACUUGCUCCCCUGCCUACGGCAUCAGUAAUGAUGGGUAGGGGAGCUACCCAUACGGGUUGAAGCAUGACCGUAAGGACAUGUGGACAGUAUGGGAGUGAGAAUGUUGGCAUGAGUAGCGAGAUGUGGGUGAGAAUCCCACAGGCCGUAAACCCAAGGUUUCCAGGGGAAGGUUCGUCCGCCCUGGGUUAGUCGGGACCUAAGCUGAGGCCGAAAGGCGUAGGUGAUGGAAAACAGGUUGAUAUUCCUGUACUACCGAUAACCGUUUGAGAGAUGGGAUGACACAGUAGGAUAAGCUAAGCACACUGUUGGUUAUGUGUGCCCAAGCAUUGAGGCAGUCAAAGUAGGCAAAUCCGCUUUGAUAAUGCUGGGAUGUGAUGGGGAGCGAAAUUUAGUAGCGAA